ACCGUCAGUCUGUCAACAACUCGUGUCCUCGCGUCAGUUCAAUUUUCGUCAUGUCAUUCGGCGGAUUGGUGUUUCGCGAUACGAGACGAAUUCUUCGUAUCGAAAACGUCGUACGGAUGGCGGCGUCCUGGCGGUAAUUUGGCCUUUUGUUGCCAGCACGCCGAAACCUGCAGUGAGUACUUACUAUAUAAUAUAAUAUUAUAUCUCGAACUGCUCGCUCCGGCCCGAGAGCGCACGUGGUUUCUAUUUGCGUCACAAUUGUAUAUUUGUGCAUUUUAAGAGACCCGGCUCGACGUGUAUUUUAUGUUUCCUCUGUUCCUCGGUACCGGCCGUAUUUUUUCCACUACGCGACGGUUCGAUUUUGCGCGAUACCAAUUAUUUCUGUAUGGACAGUAACGCGUACGGACGGGCGGGCGUCCGACCCGACGGUAUUAACGUCUUUUGGUCGCCGGCACGCCGACUAAGUAAGUAAGUAAGUAAGUACUCAAUCACGCACGAGUCUCGGAUGUUCGAGAUACUCGUCCUAGCCGGGCGCGCACGUGGUUUUUUUUCCGUCACAAUUGUGUACCUACUUGCGCAUUUGUACGACCGGCUUCAACGUUUGCGUUUCCGCAUCUCUCGAUGCGUACGUCGCCCGACAUUUUGCCGGUGUCGUUUUCGCGCGUAAUUGUCCGCGGCCCGUCAACGAACGAAGCCCGGCCCCUCCCCCGGUCAGGUAACCCCGUAGCGGUCCUGUAAAACCGGCGUGAGGUUGCCCGUGAUGUACCUGUAGGACGUUGUGUCCGCACAUGUCAUUCGGUUCGGUUACCUGUCCGUAACGGACGGUUACAUAAAUCUAACCGAAUAGCCGAAAAUCGGUAUUCCGGCCGAUGCACGUAUCUUUUGUUACGUAGGUCGCCGAAUAUUUCGCGGGCGGACGUUUUUUGCGCGUAUCUGCCCGUGGCCC
Non-coding RNA from Cinara cedri, 946 nucleotides. The record is from the annotation of a GenBank genome assembly. NCBI's taxonomy places the organism in Eukaryota, Metazoa, Arthropoda, Insecta, Hemiptera, Aphididae.